CUCAUGUCUAUAUUUAUAUUAAACAGCUAAGGGAAUUAUAAUAGAAUUGCUUCAUUGGCAUGCGUGUUUCAUGCAAUCAAAGGUUGUCUGUUUAUUGUGAUUGUAAUACCAACAGGUUUCAAAACUGAACGUACCCCAUUCCCCAUCCCUC
This is a long non-coding RNA of Haliotis rubra (blacklip abalone), 151 nucleotides long. RefSeq lists it as uncharacterized. NCBI's taxonomy places the organism in Eukaryota, Metazoa, Mollusca, Gastropoda, Lepetellida, Haliotidae. The record is from RefSeq and is a predicted model, not a curated record. The transcript is spliced from 3 exons.